AUUUAGUGUCAAAAUUUAGCACAAAAUGCGAAGGGGACCAAUAAAUCAGGACGAUUGAUGAUCAAUACGCUAGUUUUCACUGGAUCUCACUUAGUCACGCAAAAUAACUGAUAACUAUAUGUCUCGAAAUAGCCUUUCGCUGCGUUUUAUAAAUAAAGCGAACAACACAACAAAGUACACGGUCGAAUGAUAUAUGAUAGUGACAAAACAAAUAUAAACAUACAACAUAAACGUCCUAAUACAUCGCCAUGACCCGACAGCCGGUGUCAUAGCUCCACGACAACGCCCUUAAGAGGGUUACGGCGCCAAGCGUCGCCGGUGCCGAGUCCGCGGACAUGGAUUUUCAUCCGAAACCCUGCUGGUAUAGGGAAGAGGCCCGCGAGAACGUCCUCAAGAGGAUAAUGACACCCCAAGGCGUCGCUGUCGUCGGCGCCAAAGCACAAAGGUUUCACUUGGGAACUCCUCUGCCCUACCAGGAGACACCAGACAACCACUGUGACGAAGAUCAUCCCAUCCAAAUCAGAUUUCAGCGCCACCACCCCCGCUGCAAGAGAACAGACCAAAGCCUUCCGCCGCUACUCCUCUUGCCGCCCACACAACCAAGAGUUGAAGCCGCCACCACCACUACGGAGCUCGUCGGAGAGCAAAGCCCACCUUUCGAGGCCGCCGCCACGGCAUCCAAGGACGAUGGCUACAUCGACGCCAUAACAAGCAGACGCCACCCCCAAGCAACCCACGGAACUCCGCUGCAACAUGGCCGGAGGUGACCGGAGCAAGCACAAGGAACAACCUUCCCCGAUCAGGGGGACCAGUGUCAACCCCUGUCCCGGCGGGCCAGCUCGCGCCAUCGGCCAACUGCCAGCCUACACUACUAGGAGGGGCAGGCGUCGCCCCAUCAGAUCUGCCUGCGCAAAAAUAGAUGGGAAGACCACCGCGGCAUCCGGCACCUCCGGCCGCCCAAUGGCAGCUAGCACCUCUGGAGGCCAAUCGCCAUCACCUCCAAACGCUCCCACAGCAUGCUCUGCCACUGCUGUGCCACCAUCGAGGGCCACCACACAACCUAGCACACCGGAC
RNAcentral lists this long non-coding RNA (1074 nucleotides) under Triticum aestivum (bread wheat). RNAcentral describes it as "long non-coding RNA (TAES_LNC026460)". Lineage: Eukaryota; Viridiplantae; Streptophyta; Magnoliopsida; Poales; Poaceae. The record is from RNAcentral.